AGGUGGAGUACAAAGGCUAAACAGCGCCACAUCGUGUGGCAACGCCUUUGUGACCAACAUCCUGU
RNAcentral lists this small RNA (65 nucleotides) under Psychrobacillus sp. OK028. RNAcentral describes it as "Bacillaceae-1 RNA". It matches the Rfam family "Bacillaceae-1 RNA". The record is from RNAcentral. Lineage: Bacteria; Bacillati; Bacillota; Bacilli; Caryophanales; Bacillaceae.